This is a non-coding RNA of Trichuris suis (pig whipworm), 98 nucleotides long. The record is from Rfam. Lineage: Eukaryota; Metazoa; Nematoda; Enoplea; Trichinellida; Trichuridae.
GCUCCAGUGGCGCAACCGGUUAGCGCGUCGUACUUAUAAGCAGUACUGAACCUGCUGACGAAAUGCGAAGGUUGUGAGUUCGAUCCUCACCUGGAGCA